This 483-nucleotide ribosomal RNA is filed under the name uncultured bacterium. Its description in RNAcentral is "partial 16S ribosomal RNA". It matches the Rfam family "Bacterial small subunit ribosomal RNA", at positions 30 to 506 of the family's 1533-position model. The record is from RNAcentral.
AUUGAACGCUGGCGGCAGGCCUAACACAUGCAAGUCGAGCGGAUGAAGGGAGCUUGCUCCUGGAUUCAGCGGCGGACGGGUGAGUAAUGCCUAGGAAUCUGCCUGGUAGUGGGGGAUAACGUCCGGAAACGGGCGCUAAUACCGCAUACGUCCUGAGGGAGAAAGUGGGGGAUCUUCGGACCUCACGCUAUCAGAUGAGCCUAGGUCGGAUUAGCUAGUUGGUGGGGUAAAGGCCUACCAAGGCGACGAUCCGUAACUGGUCUGAGAGGAUGAUCAGUCACACUGGAACUGAGACACGGUCCAGACUCCUACGGGAGGCAGCAGUGGGGAAUAUUGGACAAUGGGCGAAAGCCUGAUCCAGCCAUGUCGCGUGUGUGAAGAAGGUCUUCGGAUUGUAAAGCACUUUAAGUUGGGAGGAAGGGCAGUAAGUUAAUACCUUGCUGUUUUGACGUUACCAACAGAAUAAGCACCGGCUAACUUCGU